UUAAGUUACUAAGGGCAUAUCGUGGAUGCCUUGGAACUAUUAGGCGAUGAAGGACGUGGCUACCUGCGAAAAGCCCCGGCAAGAUGGUAACAAUCUUAGACCCGGGGAUCUCCGAAUCGGACAACCGAAUCAGGGUAAUGCCUGAUUAUCACCUGCUGAAUCAAAUAGGCAGGUAGAAGCAAACGCAGGGAAGUGAAACAUCUCAGUACCUGCUGGAAAAGAAAACAAUGUGAUUUCCUGAGUAGCGGCGAGCGAAACGGAAACAGCCUAAACCUUUAAGCGUGUCAAGACUGCAAUCGUUGCGCUUUAGGUGUUGUGGGACUUUCAGACAGACUUGCAGUAUGUCAGAGAGUUACAAAGUUUAUUCUUAACUGAAGGGCUUGGAAAGGCCCACCAUAGAAGGUGAAAGUCCUGUAAGUGAAAAGAUUAAACCUCUCGAAAGUAUCCCGAGUACCGCGGAACACGUGAGAUUUUGCGGGAAUCCGCCAGAACCAUCUGGUAAGGCUAAAUACUCAAUAGUUACCGAUAGUGAACAAGUACCGUGAGGGAAAGGUGAAAAGUACUCCUAACAGGAGGGUGAAAUAGUACCUGAAACGAUAUGCUUACAAACGGUAGGAGUCCCUAGCAAUAGGGAUGACUGCGUGCCUUUUGUUUAAUGAGCCAACGAGUUACUCGUAUGAUGCAGGCUAAACCUUUAAGAGGUGUAACCACAGCGAAAGCAAGUCCGAAACGGGCGAUUUAGUAUCAUGCGGUAGACGCGAAACCGGGUGAUCUACUCUUGACCAGGAUGAAGUAUCGGUAAUACGAUAUGGAGGUCCGAACCAGUGUGGGUUGAAAACCGCUUGGAUGAGUUGAGAGUAGGAGCGAAAGACCAAUCAAACUCGGUGAUAGCUCGUACUCCUCGAAAUAGCUUUAGGGCUAGCCUUAGGUAAUAGUUUGUCGGAGGUAGAGCACUAAUUGGGCUAGGGCUGUCACAACGGUACCAAACCCAGAUAAACUCCGAAUUCCGAUCAAAUGUUUCCUAGGAGUCAGGCAGUGGGGGAUAAGCUUCAUUGCCAAAAGGGGAAUAACCCAGACCACCAUUUAAGGCCCCCAAGUUUACGUUAACAGACUAAGGAUGUUGAGUUGCUAUGACAACUAGGAUGUUGGCUUAGAAGCAGCCAUUCAUUUAAAGAGUGCGUAAUAGCUCACUAGUCAAGCGACUUAGCGCCGAUAAUACACGGGACUAAACGUAACGCCGAAAUUGUGGAUUUCGUAAGAAGUGGUAGAGGAGCAUUCCAUCGACGACUGCAGUUAUGCAGGGGCUUCGGCUCGAAGGUGCAGGGCGACCUGUGCUGGAGUUUAUGGAAAAGCAGAUGUUGGCAUAAGUAACGAUAAUCUUGAUGAAAAAUCAAGACACCGAAAAUCCAAGGUUUCCUGAGCAAUGUUAAUCAUCUCAGGGUUAGUCGGACCCUAAGCCGAGGCCGAGAGGCGUAGGUAAUGGGAAACAGGUUGAAUAUUCCUGUACCGUCGAAAUUUAAGCAUAGGGGACACAGAAGUGAAAGGAGAGCCACCUGAUGGAUGGUGGUUUAACGGCGUACCUGCGGGCAACCGCAGCGAAACCGGAACAGGAGGGCGCAAGCCCACAAACUCUCCCUAAUCAGGCUGUCAAGAAAAGCCUAUGUGUAUACUAAGACGUCCGUACCGUAAACCGACACAGGUAGAUGAGGAGAGUAUCCUAAGGUGCUCGAGUGAGCCGUGGUCAAGGAACUCGGCAAAUUGACCCCGUAACUUCGGGAUAAGGGGUGCCCGCUUCGGCGGGCCGCAGAGAAAUGGGCCAAGCAACUGUUUAACAAAAACACAUGUCUAUGCUAAGACUUUAAGUCGACGUAUAUGGACUGACACCUGCCCGGUGCUGGAAGGUUAAGAGGAGAGGUUAGCGCAAGCGAAGCUUUGAAUCGAAGCCCCAGUAAACGGCGGCCGUAACUAUAACGGUCCUAAGGUAGCGAAAUUCCUUGUCGGGUAAGUUCCGACCUGCACGAAUGGUGUAACGAUUUGGGCACUGUCUCGACCACGGCCUCGGUGAAAUUGUGGUACCGGUGAAGACGCCGGUUACCCGCAUAUGGACGGAAAGACCCCGUGCACCUUUACUGCACCCUAGCAUUGGGUUUGGAUAAAUUAUGUGUAGAAUAGGUGGGAGACUUUGAAGCGGUGGCGCUAGUCAUCGUGGAGUCGCAAUGUGAAAUACCACCCUUAAUUUCUUCGAAUUCUAACCCGGAUCCUUGAAUCAGGAUUGGGGACAGUGUUAGGCGGGUAGUUUGACUGGGGCGGUCGCCUCCUAAAAUGUAACGGAGGCU
RNAcentral lists this ribosomal RNA (2336 nucleotides) under bioreactor sludge metagenome. Its description in RNAcentral is "bacterial LSU rRNA". It matches the Rfam family "Bacterial large subunit ribosomal RNA", at positions 3 to 2308 of the family's 2925-position model. The record is from RNAcentral.